UCCGGUUGAUCCCGCCGGAGGUUACUGCUAUCGAGGUUCGACUAAGCCAUGCGAGUCGAAUGUAGCAAUACAUGGCGUACUGCUCAGUAACACGUGGACAACCUACCCUUGAGACGGGGAUAAACCCGGGAAACUGGGUAUAAUACCCGAUAGAUCUCGACUGCUGGAAUGCAUCGAGCUCCAAAGCUCCGGCGCUCAAGGAUGGGUCUGCGGCCUAUCAGGUAGUAGUGGGUGUAGCGUACCUACUAGCCUACGACGGGUACGGGUUGUGAGAGCAAGAGCCCGGAGAUGGAUUCUGAGACACGAAUCCAGGCCCUACGGGGUGCAGCAGGCGCGAAAACUUUACAAUGCUGGAAACAGCGAUAAGGGGACCUCGAGUGCCAGGUUACAAAUCUGGCUGUCGUGAUGCCUAAAAAGCAUUGCAUAGCAAGGGCCGGGCAAGACCGGUGCCAGCCGCCGCGGUAACACCGGCGGCUCGAGUGGUAACCGUUAUUAUUGGGUCUAAAGGGUCUGUAGCCGGCCGGAUAAGUCUCUUGGGAAAUCUGGCAGCUUAACUGUCAGGCUUUCAGGAGAUACUGUCUGGCUCGAGGCCGGGAGAGGUGAGAGGUACUUCAGGGGUAGGGGUGAAAUCUUGUAAUCCUUGAAGGACCACCAGUGGCGAAGGCGUCUCACCAGAACGGACCUGACGGCAAGGGACGAAAGCUAGGGGCACGAACCGGAUUAGAUACCCGGGUAGUCCUAGCCGUAAACGAUACUCGCUAGGUGUCGGCCACGGUGCGACCGUUGUCGGUGCCGUAGGGAAGCCGUGAAGCGAGCCACCUGGGAAGUACGGCCGCAAGGCUGAAACUUAAAGGAAUUGGCGGGGGAGCACCACAACGGGUGGAGCUUGCGGUUUAAUUGGAUUCAACGCCGGAA
This 915-nucleotide ribosomal RNA is filed under the name uncultured archaeon. RNAcentral's name for it is "bacterial SSU rRNA". It matches the Rfam family "Archaeal small subunit ribosomal RNA", at positions 1 to 923 of the family's 1478-position model. The record is from RNAcentral.